Daucus carota subsp. sativus is the source of this 812-nucleotide long non-coding RNA. RefSeq lists it as uncharacterized. The record is from RefSeq and is a predicted model, not a curated record. NCBI's taxonomy places the organism in Eukaryota, Viridiplantae, Streptophyta, Magnoliopsida, Apiales, Apiaceae. The transcript has 4 exons.
UUGAACAUACCCACUGAUACAUAUUCACUUUACACACUGUCUCUAACACAAACACACACCUCACACCUCGGCGACGCAGCUAGAGAUUAGGGUUCAAGCUGAAGCUGGAGAUUAGGGUUCAAGUUGAAGCUCGUUUCUUCAAUUAGGGGUCUGAGUGGGGUGCAAUCAAUUGGGGAUUAUCAAAUCGAGCUCAAUUAGGGAUAUUAUCAGGUAUUACUUUUAAUUUUAACCUCUUCAUUUGUAUCUAUUUGCAGGGAUUGAGAUUUUGUAUGUGCAGAAAUUGAGAUGAUGUAUGUGUAUGUACUCUGUAGUUUGUUCUCUCUCUCUCUCUCUCUCUCUCUCUCUCUCUCUCUCUCUCUCUCUCUCUCUGUGGAGAUUAGGGUUCAAGCUGAAGCUCGUUUCUUCAAUUAGGGGUCUGAUUGGGGUGCAGUCAAUUGGGUAUUCUUAAAUCGAGCUCAAUUAGCGAUAUUAUCAGAGAAUUUGAUAGCUGAUGAGUUCUCUGCUGAGAUUGCUGAUGGUGUGGCUUAUGUUUCCGGCUACGAUGAUGAAUCCAGGCCUGUCUUGAUUUUCCGAAUCAAGCAAGACUGUCACAAGUUUCAUUCACAGAAGAUGUUGGCUCGACUGGUGGUGUUUACACCGGAGGUUGCAAUACAAAUCAUGGAAAAAAAUGUGGAGCAAUUUGUCGAAGUUAACUAUUUAACUAUAGUAUUAGACUUUGAAGUAGUAUAUGUUUUUGGUUGGAUGAUUGGUUUGUGUGUAUUUGAUGGGAUGAUUUGGUAUUGAUGAAAUUAUAAUAUCAAGUUAUUUUAUUU